UGGGGAAUUUUGGACAAUGGGGGAAACCCUGAUCCAGCCAUCCCGCGUGUGCGAUGAAGGCCUUCGGGUUGUAAAGCACUUUUUGCAGGAAAGAAACGUCAUGGGUUAAUACCCCGUGAAACUGACGGUACCUGCAGAAUAAGCACCGGCUAACUACGUGCCAGCAGCCGCGGUAAUACGUAGGGUGCAAGCGUUAAUCGGAAUUACUGGGCGUAAAGCGUGCGCAGGCGGUUCGGAAAGAAAGAUGUGAAAUCCCAGAGCUCAACUUUGGAACUGCAUUUUUAACUGCCGGGCUAGAGUGUGUCAGAGGGAGGUGGAAUUCCGCGUGUAGCAGUGAAAUGCGUAGAUAUGCGGAGGAACACCGAUGGCGAAGGCAGCCUCCUGGGAUAACACUGACGCUCAUGCACGAAAGCGUGGGGAGCAAACAGG
This 429-nucleotide ribosomal RNA is filed under the name Acidobacteriota bacterium. RNAcentral's name for it is "Acidobacteria bacterium partial 16S ribosomal RNA". It matches the Rfam family "Bacterial small subunit ribosomal RNA", at positions 355 to 776 of the family's 1533-position model. The record is from RNAcentral. Lineage: Bacteria; Pseudomonadati; Acidobacteriota.